AACCAUUAACUUUCUCGCGGGUGAUGCGCUCGAUGUGGAUUACCCAUUUGCGACGGUAGACUUGAACAACUUUCCCUUCCCGGCCUUUGUAAGUCCCACGAACCACUUGGACCUCGUCGUCCUUGCGCACCGGCAUGGACCGGACGUUGUACUUGGACCUCAAAUCGGAUGAGAGUGGGGCGCUCAUCAACACACGGCGGACCGACGAGGGUGCCGUGAAAUGGGCCUUGCGGCUCUUGCGGCGAGAGGAGGAGACUCGUGGGUUGUACUUCAUUUUUUGCUGUG
This 285-nucleotide long non-coding RNA is filed under the name Gossypium raimondii (Peruvian cotton). RNAcentral describes it as "long non-coding RNA (GRAI_LNC005468)". Lineage: Eukaryota; Viridiplantae; Streptophyta; Magnoliopsida; Malvales; Malvaceae. The record is from RNAcentral.